GAUGAAGAACGCAGUGAAAUGCGAUACGUAAUGUGAAUUGCGGAAUUCAGUGAAUCAUCGAGUCUUUGAACGCACAUUGCGCCCCCUGGUAUUCCGGGGGGCAUGCCUGUCCGAGCGUCAUUGCUGCCCUCAAGCACGGCUUGUGUGUUGGGCCUCCGCCCCCCGGCUCCCGGGGGGCGGGCCCGAAAGGCAGCGGCGGCACCGCGUCCGGUCCUCGAGCGUAUGGGGCUUCGUCACCCGCUCCGUAGGCCCGGCCGGCGCCCGCCGGCGACCCCCCUCAAUCUUUCCAGGUUGACCUCGGAUCAGGUAGGGAUACCCGCUGAACUUAAGCAUAUCAAUAAGCGGAGGA
This 349-nucleotide unclassified non-coding RNA is filed under the name soil metagenome. RNAcentral describes it as "partial contains 5.8S ribosomal RNA, internal transcribed spacer 2, and large subunit ribosomal RNA". The stretch from base 1 to 120 matches the Rfam family "5.8S ribosomal RNA", at positions 35 to 154 of the family's 154-position model. The record is from RNAcentral.